Molecule: ribosomal RNA, 775 nt
Filed under: uncultured Neocallimastigales
Lineage: Eukaryota; Fungi; Neocallimastigomycota; Neocallimastigomycetes; Neocallimastigales
Description: partial large subunit ribosomal RNA
Rfam family: Eukaryotic large subunit ribosomal RNA
Source: RNAcentral
CGCAUCUGUGCAUGCAGCAUAUCAAUAAGCGGAGGAAAAGAAACUAACAAGGAUUCCCCUAGUAACGGCGAGUGAAGCGGGAAGAGCUCAAAUUUGAAAUCUUAAAGGGUUUCCCUUUACGAAUUGUAGUUUAAAGAAGUGUUUUCUGUUGAGGUUUUGGUAAAAGUUCUUUGGAAUAGGACAUCAUAGAGGGUGAGAAUCCCGUAUUUGACCUUUACUUUCAACUUUGUGAUACACUUUCAAAGAGUCGGAUUGUUUGGGAAUGCAGUCCAAAAUGGGUGGUAAAUUUCAUCUAAAGCUAAAUAUUGGCGAGAGACCGAUAGCGAACAAGUACCGUGAGGGAAAGAUGAAAAGAACUUUGAAAAGAGAGUUAAACAGUACGUGAAAUUGUCAAAAGGGAAGCGUUUGACACCAGUGUUGUUCUUCUGAAAAUCAAUUAAAGAACUGUUUAUGCUAAGCUGUUUAGACUUUAUCAGCUAUACUGUUUAGUUUUGAGCUUUUCUUUAAUGCACUUUUCAGUUAACAAGUCAACAUCAAUUUCUUUUGCUGUAAAAAAGCUUGAGGAAGGUGGCUUGAGAUUCGUCUUAAGUGUUUAUAGCCUCUUGCCUAUGCAGUCGGAGAGAUUGAGGUCUGCAGCGUAGAUCCUUCGGGGCUAAAUGCAUUUGUGCUAAGUUAUAACAUUUUAUAGACAACUUGUUGACUAUGAUUUGUCUUGUAGCUUACUCGCUUAUGUUAUUUUACCUACGCUUAGGAUGUUGACAGCAGUAUAGACUGU